This is a long non-coding RNA of Cryptotermes secundus, 477 nucleotides long. RefSeq lists it as uncharacterized. The transcript is spliced from 2 exons. NCBI's taxonomy places the organism in Eukaryota, Metazoa, Arthropoda, Insecta, Blattodea, Kalotermitidae. The record is from RefSeq and is a predicted model, not a curated record.
UCUUGAAACUGCAUUAGUUUCUGUCGUGUCCAUGUAGUUUGUGCAGCAGUCUCAGCGGCAUCAUUGACAUAUGUGUAUGUAGCAUACUUGUUCGGUGCCACAUUACUAUUGCCAUUACAUAUUACACUUCAAAAUGAGAAUUGAAGAUUCAGGUUGCAUUUUGUAGUUGAAUUGCCAUACAUUAACAUAUCCUAGUUUAUGUUUCACAUUGUCCAAAUAUAAAGCUUUAACAUGGAGAUGCCCUUUUGUUUUAUCCACAGAGAUAACUGUAAAGGAAGAUGAAAUCAAGUAUUUGGGAAAUAUAACUUCCUUGUGCCCAUAAGGGUAACAAUACAGAAACAGAUAAAAUCAGGUGUUUGGAAGAAGCCAUUUCUUUUGCCUACAAUGGUGACAGUAAAGGAAUAGAUGAACUCAAGUAUUUGGGACUUCACCUCCAUCGAAGGGUGACAAUAGAGUAACAAAUGAAAGCACAUACUU